RNAcentral lists this ribosomal RNA (524 nucleotides) under uncultured bacterium. Its description in RNAcentral is "bacterial SSU rRNA". It matches the Rfam family "Bacterial small subunit ribosomal RNA", at positions 986 to 1509 of the family's 1533-position model. The record is from RNAcentral.
AUCCAGAGAACUUAGCAGAGAUGCUUUGGUGCCUUCGGGAACUCUGAGACAGGUGCUGCAUGGCUGUCGUCAGCUCGUGUUGUGAAAUGUUGGGUUAAGUCCCGNAACGAGCGCAACCCUUAUCCUUUGUUGCCAGCGGCUCGGCCGGGAACUCAAAGGAGACUGCCGGUGAUAAACCGGAGGAAGGUGGGGAUGACGUCAAGUCAUCAUGGCCCUUACGGCCAGGGCUACACACGUGCUACAAUGGCGCAUACAAAGAGAAGCGACCUCGCGAGAGCAAGCGGACCUCAUAAAGUGCGUCGUAGUCCGGAUUGGAGUCUGCAACUCGACUCCAUGAAGUCGGAAUCGCUAGUAAUCGUAGAUCAGAAUGCUACGGUCGAAUACGUUCCCGGGCCUUGUACACACCGCCCGUCACACCAUGGGAGUGGGUUGCAAAAGAAGUAGGUAGCUUAACCUUCGGGAGGGCGCUUACCACUUUGUGAUUCAUGACUGGGGUGAAGUCGUAACAAGGUAAGCGUACGUGU